GGUGAGAUGGCUCAGUGGUUAAGAGUUCGGACUGCUCUUCCAAAGGUCCUGAGUUCAAAUCCCAGCAACCA
RNAcentral lists this transfer RNA (71 nucleotides) under Mus musculus (house mouse). RNAcentral describes it as "tRNA-Ser". The record is from RNAcentral. Lineage: Eukaryota; Metazoa; Chordata; Mammalia; Rodentia; Muridae.